AUGCCUAGUCGUAAAAUAUUAAAUUACAACUACAAACGCCUGGGAACUACGAGCCUCAGCUUAAAACCCAAAGGACUUGACGGUGUCCCAUCCCGCUAGAGGAGCCUGUCCUAUAAUCGAUGGUCCCCGAUUCACCUAACCUUUCUUUGCCUAUCAGCCUGUAUACCUCCGUCGUAAACUUACCAUAUGAAUGAUGCACAGUCUAGUUCCAAGAUCUAUUCAUCUAUACGUCAGGUCAAGGUGCAGCCCAUGGAAAGGUAGAGAUGGGCUACAAUUUCUAAUCUAGAACAGACGAAGUACUGCAUGAAACACAGUCAUGAAGGAGGAUUUAGUAGUAAAGAGGAACUAGUGAGUUCUCUUUAACGCGGCCCUGGGACACGUACACACCGCCCGUCGCCCUCUUUAACAAUCAUUAACCAGGUUUCUAACCCCACAGAUAAUAAAAAAGAGGUAAGUCGUAACAUGGUAAGUGUACUGGAAAGUGCACUUGGAUCAA
RNAcentral lists this ribosomal RNA (496 nucleotides) under Fejervarya cancrivora (crab-eating frog). RNAcentral's name for it is "partial 12S small subunit ribosomal RNA". It matches the Rfam family "Bacterial small subunit ribosomal RNA", at positions 792 to 1525 of the family's 1533-position model. The record is from RNAcentral. Lineage: Eukaryota; Metazoa; Chordata; Amphibia; Anura; Dicroglossidae.